This 111-nucleotide non-coding RNA is filed under the name Microbacterium sp. RNAcentral's name for it is "TPP sequence". It matches the Rfam family "TPP riboswitch aptamer (THI element)". From Rfam's summary of the family: Vitamin B(1) in its active form thiamin pyrophosphate (TPP) is an essential coenzyme that is synthesised by coupling of pyrimidine and thiazole moieties in bacteria. The previously detected thiamin-regulatory element, thi box was extended, resulting in a new, highly conserved RNA secondary structure, the THI element, which is widely distributed in eubacteria and also occurs in some archaea. Analysis of operon structures identified a large number of new candidate thiamin-regulated genes, mostly transporters, in various prokaryotic organisms. The record is from RNAcentral. Lineage: Bacteria; Bacillati; Actinomycetota; Actinomycetes; Micrococcales; Microbacteriaceae.
ACCACGAACCACGGGAGUCCGGUGUGCCGGGCUGAGAGGAAGCGAAUCCACGCUUCGACCGUCGAACCUGAUCUGGGUCAUGCCAGCGCAGGAAGGAGAACAAUGUCUGUU